UUUAAAUCAAGGCAGGACUGCAUUAAUCAUACUGAAGAUACGAUUAAAGGUAGUUGUAUGGUUUCAUUAACUAGCAGCCGUAUUACUUGUUUUUUUUUUCGCUCUUUUGUGAUUCUCAAAGUUUAGUUACUAAAAUUUUUCCUCUCUGAUGAUUUUGAGUUAUAAGUUUUCUUGGCUGUGCACCGGUAGUUUCAUGAACUUCACUUGAGCAGAUAUAAGAAUGGCAUGCUCAAACUGUGUUAAAAUGCUGCAAAACAUCUCAGAUCUGUUCUAACUCAAUAGCUUAAGUGAAAAGGAGAAUCUAAUUGGUUAGCUAUCAUAAUUUCUCAAUGAAAGAUGGGCACCUAAAUUCAUAUUUAGGUCAUCCCACUUUGAAAGGCGUUCUCAAUAUAUUUUCAUGGCUGUCAUAACUCAUUAUAUAGGCUGUAGCUUGAUUGUUUCAUAACUUUGCUUAGCUUUUCCAUACUUUAGGGGCAGGGAAUUGAGUGAACCACCCAUAAUGGAACAACUUUUACGUAGAUGGAAGUUUUUUUUGGUAAUUACUACAUAAGAGUUUUGGGUUCUAAUGAUCAUUAUUCUUCCAAAUAAUGUACUUUUCCCUAUGAGGUGAUCUAUCAUGCCCUUAAAGAUUGGAAUUACUUACUCGCUCUUUCUCAUUUCUAGGGCCAUUUGGCUUUUGGACCAAACUAGUUGAUGAUGGCUUGUGUGGUAUGUAGAUCUUCUAUUGUAGUUAUAACCUAGGAUUUGAUUAUGUUUAUUGCAAGCUACUCAUGAUAUUUUAGAGCGGUGCAUGUCACCUAUGAGGUGAUUUAUCAUAUCCCGGGAAAACAGUUUAGAGGUUGUAUACACCAUCCUGGAGUCAGGAUCUUUCAUAUCCCUCACCAGCCAUUUACUACUAGUCCAUUUUCUCUGAGAAAGAAACAAAAAGAACUAGUUCCUCAAGUAACCAAAACAGAUGCUGAACAAAGGUGAGGUUUGAUUUAGAGAUUUUAGAACCUUGUUAUUUUCAGAUGGUAAUUUUAGAGUAAAUAUAUGGAUGUGAUCUACCGGGUCUAAACAUUCAGAUCUAAACAUCUUAUGCAAAAGAAAUUUUAGGACUCAGAGACUUGUGCUCUAUGCAUUAAAGAACCAGAUUACUUUAAUUGAAUUUUAUAUAAUGAUCAAUAUUUUUUAUUGAUUUGAUACCUACCCUAUCAACUAAGAUCUUAGCAUAAUACAAGCCACUGAUUUUGGGUCUACUCAUUGCACUUGAAGUAGGACCUCAAACAUAUUAUUUGUAGUAAGCAUUUGAUUCCGUGUAGAUCAUAUAGAGUUGCAAAAAUGUUAAAUUUGAAACACCCUAAAUAUUAAUGUAAAAUCAGUGUAACACCUAACAGUUCUUUGAAUCAUCAUAUGCGAAAUACGAAUAUGCCAAAUAUAAACACCUCCAAACUGUCAUUUAAUAUUUUUAAUAAGGCUGUUUUUUCAACUGCAUCUACAACUAGGGAUAGAAACAUAUGAAUUUUCAUUUUUAACUUUAUAGUACUUCCAUUUAGUAAUCAAAGUAAAAUUUGUAGAUUUUGCUUUCGAGUAUCUACCCUUGAACUAAAUAGUGAGUCCAUCUUCCCUAAAAUCACAUUUUUGAACACUGAAUAAGUAAAACUCUAAGAUCACCCUCAGACAGCUGUUGUUUGGUUUACACUUCUAUAGGAAUCUGUGGGAGAGUCAUUGUGUGUAAGAUAGUUUUUUUUUUGUGCGUGUGUGUUUGUUUUGGUUUGUGGCUCCGAAGCCUUGUUGCUUCAUCAUGUAGCUUAAUUCACUCUUCAAUUGAAUGAAGAGAUAGCAUGCUACCUUUCUCAAAAAAAAGAAACAAGUAAAACUCUCUGUCAAUGUUUUCGGAUGCGCACACUACACACACAUUUAAGCGAGUAUUGUAUAUGCUAUGGUCGACUAAUUCACCUCUAAAAAGAGAUAUGCGAGUGGUAUUGCUUGUCCAUGCCUAGGACCAAAUUCUUUACAGCUUUCCAACAUCUAAUAUUUUUGAAGUCCUCUUUUAGGCUGUUGAUGUUACGAAGCUCUCAUAUCUUAACCAAUCAAUGGAUAUGCUCAUACAGCUAGUACAACUCCUUUUACUGGGUUAUUGAUGCAGACUUCAGUGGCAAUUCAGAUAUUAUAUUUCUUUCUGCAAUAUUUUUAUCUUAUUGGUAAUAGAAGAAUUUACUUGGUACAAAUAAACAAAGAACAUGUAAUAAAAUUUAACCCAUCAAGUUGUCAAGAUACGAUCCCGUAGGUAGUAUGAUUUGGGGUCUUUUCCUCACGCACCCAAUUCCAAUUUUAUUGCUUACAACCCCAAUUUUAUUGCUUACAACCAUGUAUAAAUGUAAGUGGGUCUUCCUUUAAUUUUCUUUCUGCUUUCUUUCUUCUUAUUGCUGCAUGUUCUUUCGAUUGUACCCAAUUUCCUUUUUUAGCUCCACCAACCCACCUGCUACAAUAACUUAUUGAUAAAUGUAACGGAUCUCUUCUUGCUUUUUCUUCAAAUUUACCUUGCUCUACGUCUUCAUUGAAUUUACAGACCUCAGAAAGAGUUUUUAGCUUUUUUUAUAUAUAGGUUGGUUAGUUGCUUAUGGUGAGGCCUCUUCUGUCAUUUAUGUCUAUUAAGUUCUGUACAGCUUUACAACCAUAAGGUUUUGUGUCCAAUAGGUUAUUGCAUCAUUAGGGGGAAUGGCAAUAGUAGUAACCAUGCAUUCAACAAAAUGCUAAUUUGAGAUUUUCAGAAACAGUAUAUAUAAUUGAUGCUUUCAGACUUGCUUAUGUUAUUGAAACAAACUGUUCAAAUUAUGGGAGCUGUCUCUUUCGUGCGUCAUACUGGGAGAAAGCAGUUAUAAAGCAGUGUGUAAAAUAGGUAGUAGAGAUCUAAUUUGGUGGCUAGACCUACUUAUUUCUUAAAUGGUGACACUAUCUCAAGCUAGGAAGAACACAUUCUUGCAGCAUGAUCGUAUGCAGCGGGCACCAAAUUCAUAAAUCUUAUUAUUUUCUCUGUAAAGAGACUUAUGUCGAUUGAUCACCUUAAUCUUCAUGUAAAGACUUAAACAUGUGUGUGAAGAUAUUCUUGAUUCUCUUCUCGAGGAACAUUGAUUGCAUUUUCCCUGCUAAUGCAAAGCUUGAAUGUAUGCUGGCGUAACGUAAUAAGAAUAGGUGGUAUUGGUCGCUGUCUUCACUAAUUGUAAUUGGUUCUCUCUCCCUCUCUCUCUCUCUCUCUCUCUCUCUCUGUGAGAAAAGAGGGGGUGAAGGCUGAGUUGGAUUGGGAUCAUUUCAUUAAUGCAGGAGGGUUAUUAUGUAAAAAGUUAGGUGGAAAUGGAGGGCCAAAGCCAUGUGCAUUGAGUAGGGUACAGAGAAGAGGUAUCCAUUAAGGAGCAUUACUAGGUGGGCGUCACUGCGUCGCCAAACAAAAGGCCGCGGUGGUGCCCAUCUCUCCCUUCACCUAUCCACCUCUGGGAGCAUUCAUUAACCCUCCUAGGACCACCUUGCUGUUUUCCCUAAUCUCGAAAGAGAGACUGGUCUUAGAACCUUUGAAAGCUUACAGUUUGUAUGGCUUGCAGCAUUCUUUAGGAACCCUAACCUUUGCUUAUUGUGGAUUUAGUCCUUGUUUGGCCUUGCUGCUUUUGGAAUAGCUUCUGUCUAACGUUAGAAGUAUUAGUCAAAAUUCCAAAAAAAAAAAAAAAAAAAAAAUUCUUAAACCUUUGCUGUGAGAAGGAGAUUAAUUAACCUGUUGAGAACAACAACCAGAAGAUGCCUCAAUUUGAAGAAUCUUCUGGUUUUAAUAUAGUGGGAAGCUAUCAGGAGAGGGGUGGCCUUGUUUUUAGGAUGAAAAAUAUUAAUAACCAUUUAAAUAGCUAUACUUAACCAACACUUCCAGCACAAGCAACUGUUAUCGUGAAGAGACCCUAAAUUGGACUCUCUAGGUAACUGGGAUAGCUACAUCUAUCUCAAUUAAACUCGGUGCCUAGGAUAAGCAUAUAGAUAUAUCGAACAGAGCCCAUUGCUAUCCACCGUCUUCCUCUUAACUACGCGCGAAUAGUCUUAGCAUAAUAAUGCUGCAAUGUAUUAAUGUCGUCCAACAACCCCUCGACAUUCUUUUUAUCUCUUUAUUGCUUGGGCUUUUCUGCUUACUUAUUUUGAAUGAGAAGGGCCUUCAUCGCUUGUUUCCGACUUUCCUCAAAGAAACCCAAUUGGACUUGCUAAUGACCUUGUUAAGGCAGGUAAUAAGCACAAUUCUGGACAUUGUUGGCAUCCUGUAUGGUUGGAGAUUUAAUUACUGUGAUAGUUUGUCAUGCAUUUCUUUUCAGUCCAAGGCAAUUGUUUGUUUGAUCCUUAUUUGAAUGGCCCGUAAUAAUUUUGUCUUUCAUUCUGUUUGUUCUGCCAACCUUUGUUGCGCUUAACAGAAAGAUCAAAAACCAAGGGACAUUAAUACGACUCCUGAUUCAAUGAGGAUAAGAAAUUCUCAUCUUGAUCCGGUCAAUAACUUGGAUUUAUGACGUCAAAGCAGACGGAUCGCAUCCCCUCUGUAAUGGUAACACUUCUCCUCCGGCGCAACAAACGCAAUGCUUAACUUGCAGGCGACUGUGUACUUGAAUUGGAGGGAUUCAUUCGCUGUGCACAUGAUGGGGCGUCCUUUUGGAUCGUUUUGACCCUCAUCACGCACAUUAACUGUUGCAUACAACACUGCCGGCUCUGAGUACUGGUGGCAGUGGCUUGAAUUGGAAACUGCCGGAGUUGGUUCGCAGUUUCGCACCA
RNAcentral lists this long non-coding RNA (4773 nucleotides) under Ananas comosus (pineapple). RNAcentral's name for it is "long non-coding RNA (ACOM_LNC032080)". The record is from RNAcentral. Lineage: Eukaryota; Viridiplantae; Streptophyta; Magnoliopsida; Poales; Bromeliaceae.